CCUACGGGAGGCAGCAGUGAGGAAUAUUGGUCAAUGGACGAGAGUCUGAACCAGCCAAGUAGCGUGAAGGAUGACUGCCCUAUGGGUUGUAAACUUCUUUUAUAAAGGAAUAAAACGAGGCACGUGUGCCUUUUUGCAUGUACUUUAUGAAUAAGGAUCGGCUAACUCCGUGCCAGCAGCCGCGGUAAUACGGAGGAUCCGAGCGUUAUCCGGAUUUAUUGGGUUUAAAGGGAGCGUAGAUGGGUUGUUAAGUCAGUUGUGAAAGUUUGCGGCUCAACCGUAAAAUUGCAAUUGAUACUGGCGGUCUUGAGUACAGUUGGGGUAGGCGGAAUUCGUGGUGUAGCGGUGAAAUGCUUAGAUAUCACGAAGAACCCCGAUUGCGAGGGCAGCUUACUAAACUGUGACUGACAUUGAUGCCCGAAAGUGUGGGUAUCAAACAGGAUUAGAUACCCUAGUAGUC
RNAcentral lists this ribosomal RNA (460 nucleotides) under uncultured bacterium. Its description in RNAcentral is "partial 16S ribosomal RNA". It matches the Rfam family "Bacterial small subunit ribosomal RNA", at positions 338 to 795 of the family's 1533-position model. The record is from RNAcentral.